AGAGUUUGAUCCUGGCUCAGGAUAAACGCUGGCGGCGCACAUAAGACAUGCAAGUCGAACGAACUUAACCAAAUAGUUUACUUUUUGGAGCGGUUAGUGGCGGACUGGUGAGUAACACGUAAGCAACCUGCCUAUCAGAGGGGAACAACAGUUAGAAAUGACUGCUAAUACCGCAUAAGCCAUGAGUAUCGCAUGGUACAAAUGGAAAAGGAGCAAUCCGCUGAUAGAUGGGCUUGCGACUGAUUAGCUAGUUGGUGUGGUAACGGCAUACCAAGGCGACGAUCAGUAGCCGGACUGAGAGGUUGAACGGCCACAUUGGGACUGAGAUACGGCCCAGACUCCUACGGGAGGCAGCAGUCGGGAAUAUUGCGCAAUGGAGGGAACUCUGACGCAGUGACGCCGCGUGCAGGAAGAAGGUUUUCGGAUUGUAAACUGCUUUAGACAGGGAGGAAAAAGACAGUACCUGUAGAAUAAGCUCCGGCUAACUACGUGCCAGCAGCCGCGGUAAUACGUAGGGAGCGAGCGUUAUCCGGAUUUAUUGGGUGUAAAGGGUGCGUAGACGGGAAAUUAAGUUGGUUGUGAAAUCCCUCGGCUCAACUGAGGAACUGCAACCAAAACUGAUAAUCUUGAGUGCUGGAGGGGAAAGUGGAAUUCCUAGUGUAGCGGUGAAAUGCGUAGAUAUUAGGAGGAAUACCGGUAGCGAAGGCGACUUUCUGGACAGUAACUGACGUUGAGGCACGAAAGCGUGGGGAGCAAACAGGAUUAGAUACCCUGGUAGUCCACGCUGUAAACGAUGGAUA
RNAcentral lists this ribosomal RNA (800 nucleotides) under uncultured bacterium. RNAcentral's name for it is "bacterial SSU rRNA". It matches the Rfam family "Bacterial small subunit ribosomal RNA", at positions 8 to 815 of the family's 1533-position model. The record is from RNAcentral.